Molecule: ribosomal RNA, 892 nt
Filed under: Staphylococcus aureus
Lineage: Bacteria; Bacillati; Bacillota; Bacilli; Caryophanales; Staphylococcaceae
Description: bacterial SSU rRNA
Rfam family: Bacterial small subunit ribosomal RNA
Source: RNAcentral
AACCUACCUAUAAGACUGGGAUAACUUCGGGAAACCGGAGCUAAUACCGGAUAAUAUUUUGAACCGCAUGGUUCAAAAGUGAAAGACGGUCUUGCUGUCACUUAUAGAUGGAUCCGCGCUGCAUUAGCUAGUUGGUAAGGUAACGGCUUACCAAGGCAACGAUGCAUAGCCGACCUGAGAGGGUGAUCGGCCACACUGGAACUGAGACACGGUCCAGACUCCUACGGGAGGCAGCAGUAGGGAAUCUUCCGCAAUGGGCGAAAGCCUGACGGAGCAACGCCGCGUGAGUGAUGAAGGUCUUCGGAUCGUAAAACUCUGUUAUUAGGGAAGAACAUAUGUGUAAGUAACUGUGCACAUCUUGACGGUACCUAAUCAGAAAGCCACGGCUAACUACGUGCCAGCAGCCGCGGUAAUACGUAGGUGGCAAGCGUUAUCCGGAAUUAUUGGGCGUAAAGCGCGCGUAGGCGGUUUUUUAAGUCUGAUGUGAAAGCCCACGGCUCAACCGUGGAGGGUCAUUGGAAACUGGAAAACUUGAGUGCAGAAGAGGAAAGUGGAAUUCCAUGUGUAGCGGUGAAAUGCGCAGAGAUAUGGAGGAACACCAGUGGCGAAGGCGACUUUCUGGUCUGUAACUGACGCUGAUGUGCGAAAGCGUGGGGAUCAAACAGGAUUAGAUACCCUGGUAGUCCACGCCGUAAACGAUGAGUGCUAAGUGUUAGGGGGUUUCCGCCCCUUAGUGCUGCAGCUAACGCAUUAAGCACUCCGCCUGGGGAGUACGACCGCAAGGUUGAAACUCAAAGGAAUUGACGGGGACCCGCACAAGCGGUGGAGCAUGUGGUUUAAUUCGAAGCAACGCGAAGAACCUUACCAAAUCUUGACAUCCUUUGACAACUCU